Girardinichthys multiradiatus is the source of this 368-nucleotide long non-coding RNA. RefSeq lists it as uncharacterized. Lineage: Eukaryota; Metazoa; Chordata; Actinopteri; Cyprinodontiformes; Goodeidae. The transcript is spliced from 3 exons. The record is from RefSeq and is a predicted model, not a curated record.
CGAAAGAUCUCCCCAGAAAGACAUCGCUCGGAACAUCUCCAUAAAAUUAUUUGUUUGUUCAAAAAAGUGCUCUAACAGGACACAGGAGGGAAAGCAGCAGCAAGCGGCACCACUGGCAGACUGGAGCCUGCAGUGGGAACAAGCUCAACUAUGUGCCAAGAAGGUGGACCAAUGGAUUUUGAGACAUUUUAUGGCAGUGGUGGAUAUAUGCAGUACAGAUGCAGUCUCUUAGUUGCAGCGCUCAUUCCACCAAAUGUUUCUACAUGGUCAAAACAUCCGUGGCAGCCAGUAAUUGGAGAUCCAAUUACAUACUACAGCAAUCUGUUAGAUGAGUGGAAAGGUGAUGGUGAAGUGGUGUUCGCCUAAAG